UCUCGGGUCCCCUAGGUCGCGGGGCAGCCGGGGCGGAAGGGGCUUGUUCAUUAUUUUGAGAGUUUGUUGUGAACGUCAUAACCUUUCGUCCUUAAAUAUUGCCGAUACUUGACCUACGCAAGAGACAAUGUCAUGUGAUUCAGCCUAAUAUCUCAGAGGAUGCAGCAUUCAAGGUUCUAUCUUGGAAGCAGAGACUGUGCCCUCACCAGAUGCUGAACCUGCUGAGCACCCUGAUCUUCCACUUCACCUUCAUCAGAACUGUGAGAAUUAACUUUCUAUUAUUUAUAAAUUACUCAGUCUAAGAUAUUUUGUUAUAGCAGCAGGAUCAGAUUGAGACAAGGAAUUUAUACCAAUUUAGACUAUGCAUGAAUCCACAAGAAUCCAAGUGGCACAAGAAUCUAGCACCAAAAUGGCAGCUCAGGGAAAGCUGAUUCAGUUUAACGUUCAAAAGAAGAGGCAAAACUAAUUCUAGAAACUUGUUCCCUUGAGAUGCUCGGAGACGUGCCCUGGUUUAGAAAGAAAAUACAGAAUGGAAGCUUUGCUCUAAAAGACAGGUUCUUGCAUUAGAAAAAGGGUUACUUCGGACUCACUGGCUCUAAAUAAAUUAGUCAGGAGAAAACUAAUGAAUGUUACCAUGGAAUUAUCCAUAGGACUUAACCUUCUCAAAAUAGUUGUGAGUGGGAUGAAAGAGCAACAAUGAGUUAACCAGAGACACUGGAAGGUGUUAAUUAGAAAAAAAA
RNAcentral lists this long non-coding RNA (740 nucleotides) under Homo sapiens (human). Its description in RNAcentral is "long intergenic non-protein coding RNA 882". Lineage: Eukaryota; Metazoa; Chordata; Mammalia; Primates; Hominidae. The record is from RNAcentral.